RNAcentral lists this long non-coding RNA (18246 nucleotides) under Triticum aestivum (bread wheat). RNAcentral's name for it is "long non-coding RNA (TAES_LNC007543)". Lineage: Eukaryota; Viridiplantae; Streptophyta; Magnoliopsida; Poales; Poaceae. The record is from RNAcentral.
UUUCUUUUUUUGUUGUAUCGGUGGUUGUAAUGCUCGAAUAUUGCUUUCUAAUCUAAAUAGGGGGAAACCCUUUCUCGUCAAGACAAUCUAUAGCCCUGUGAAAAGACGUCAAUUAAUAAAUCUUGUUCCAUAUGUCCUGUAAUAAGCUUCAGUUAGUUUAAAAUGCUCUAACACCUUAGCCCUUGCUUUCUUCAUGAUGAUUUUGCGACCUUUAUAUUAGAUGUUGGCCUGCAUAUAGAAUUGUGGAUGACCUCAUCCCUUCAGCAUCAUCAACCUUUUGCAAUGUGUUGAUUUUACUUUUAUAAUAGUAUGUAUUAAUUAGUAAGAUUUAACUCGUGGAUCAUCACAUAGCUUGCAACCUUUUUGGAAUGCUUUUGGACCGAAGUCUAUGACCUGCUUUAUUGAUGGUAACAUUACCAUCCGCGUCCGUCUUCUUCUUAAAGAUCCAUUUAUUUUCUAUCGCUCGCCGAUCAUCGGGCAAGUCUGUCAAAGUCCACACUUUGUUUUCAUACAUGGAUCCUAUCUCGGAUUGCAUGGCUUCAAGCCAUUUGUUGGAAUCUGGGCCCGCCUUCGCUUCUUCAUAGUUAGAAGGUUCACCGUUGUCUAACAACAUGAUUUCCAGGACAGGGUUGCCAUACCAUUCUGGUGUAGAACAUGUCCUUGUGGACCUACGAAGUUUAGUAGUAACUUGAUCCGAAGUACCUUGAUCAUCAUCAUUAACUUCCUCUCUAGUUGGUGCAGGCACCACAGGAACAUCUUCCUGAGCUGCGCUACUUACCGGUUCAAGAGGCAGUACUUCAUCAAGUUCCACUUUCCACCCACUUAAUUCUUUCGAGAGAAACUCUUUCUCCAGAAAGGACCCAUUCUUGGCAACAAAGACCUUGCCUUCGUAUCUAAGGUAGAAGGUAUACCCAAUGAUUUCCUUAGGGUAUCCUAUGAAGACGCAUUUUUCCGACUUUGGUUCGAGCUUUUCAGGUUGAAGUUGCUUGACGUAAGCAUCGCAUCCCCAAACUUUUAGAAACGAUAGCUUAGGUUUCUUUCCAAACCAUAACUCAUACGGUGUCGUCUCAACGGAUUUAGACGGUGCCCUAUUUAAAGUGAAUGUAGCUGUCUCUAAAGCGUAUCCCUAAAAUGAUAGCGGUAAAUCGGUAAGAGACAUCAUAGACCGCACCAUAUCCAAUAGAGUGCGAUUACGAUGUUCGGACACACCGUUACGCUGAGGUGUUCCAGGCGGCGUGAGUUGUGAAACAAUUCCACAUUUCCUUAAGUGCGUACCAAACUCGUGACUUAAAUAUUCUCCCCCACGAUCUGAUCGUAAGAACUUUAUUUUUCUGUCACAUUGAUUCUCUACCUCAUUCUAAAAUUCCUUGAACUUUUCAAAGGUCUCAGACUUGUGUUUCAUCAAGUAGACAUACCCAUAUCUACUUAAGUCAUCAGUGAGGGUGAGAACAUAACGAUAGCCACCGCGAGCCUCAACACUCAUUUAAUUUCGAAUAAGUUGGUUGCUCGCUCCAUUGUUCCGGAGAACGGAGUCUUGGUCAUUUUGCCCAUGAGGCAUGGUUCGCACGUGUCAAAUGAUUCGAAAUCAAGAGACUCCAAAAGUCCAUCUGUAUGGAGCUUCUUCAUGCGUUUGACACCAAUGUGACCAAGGCGGUAGUGCCACAGAUAUGUGGGACUAUCAUUAUCAAUCUUACAUCUUUUGGUAUUCACACUAUGAAUAUGUGUAACAUCACGUUCGAGAUUCAUUAAGAAUAAACCAUUGACCAGCGGGGCAUGACCAUAAAACAUAUCUCUCAUAUAAAUAGAACAGCCAUUAUUCUCGGAUUUAAAUGAGUAGCCAUCUCGUAUUAAACGAGAUCCAGAUACAAUGUUCAUGCUCAAAGCUGGCACUAAAUAACAAUUAUUGAGGUUCAAAACUAAUCCCGUAGGUAAAUGUAGAGGUAGUGUGCCGACGGCGAUCACAUUGACCUUGGAACCAUUCCCGACGCGCAUCGUCACCUCGUCCUUCGCCAGUCUCCGCUUAUUCCGUAGCUCCUGUUUUGAGUUACAAAUAUGAGCAACCGCACCGGUAUCAAAUACCCAGGAGCUACUACGAGUAUUGGUAAGGUACACAUCAAUAACAUGUAUAUCACAUAUACCUUUGGUGUUGCCGGCCUUCUUAUCCGCUAAGUACUUGGGGCAGUUCCGCUUCCAGUGACCGUUCCCCUUGCAAUAAAAACACUCUUUCUCAGGUUUGGGUCCGUGCUUUGGCUUCUUCCCUGCAACUGGCUUACCGGGCGCGGCAACUCCCUUGCCGUCCUUCUUGAAGUUCUUCUUACCCUUGCCUUUCUUGAAACUAGUGGUUUUAUUGACCAUCAACACUUGAUGUUCCUUUUUGAUUUCUACCUCUGCUGAUUUCAGCAUUGAAAAUACCUCAGGAAUAGUUUUCACCAUCCCCUGCAUAUUGUAGUUCAUCACAAAGCUCUUGUAGCUAGGUGGGAGCGACUGAAGGAUUCUGUCAAUGACCGCCUCAUCCAGGAGGUUAAUGUCCAGCUGGGACAAGCGGUUGUGCAACCCAGACAUUUUGAGUAUGUGCUCGCUGACAGAACUAUUUUCCUCCAUCUUACAACUGUAGAACUUGUCAGAGACUUCAUAUCGCUCGACCCGGGCAUGAGCUUGGAAAACCAUUUUCAGAUCUUGGAACAUCUCACAUGCUCCAUGUUGCUCAAAACGCUUUUGGCGCCCCGGUUCUAAGCUAUAAAGCAUGCCGCACUGAACGAGGGAGUAAUCAUCAACACGCGACUGCCAAGCGUUCAUAACGUCUUGGUUCAUUGGGACGGGUGCUUCACCUGGCGGUGCUUCUAGAACAUAUGCUUUCUUGGCAGCUAUGAGGAUGAUCCUCAGGUUCCGGACCCAGUCCGUAUAGUUGCUACCAUCGUCUUUCAGCUUGGUUUUCUCUAGGAACGCGUUGAAGUUGAGGUUGACAUGAGCAUGGGCCAUUUGAUCUACAAGACAUUUUGCAAAAUGUUUUAGACUAAGUUCAUGAUAAUUAAGUUCAUCUAAUCAAAUUAUUUAAUGAACUCCCACUCAGAUAGACAUCCCUCUAGUCAUCUAAGUGAUACAUGAUCCGAGUCAACUAGGCUGUGUCCGAUCAUCACGUGAGACAGACUAGUCAUCAUCGGUGAACAUCUCCAUGUUGAUCGUAUCUUCUAUACGACUCAUGUUCGACCUUUCGGUCUCUUGUGUUCCGAGGCCAUGUCUGUACAUGCUAGGCUCGUCAAGUCAACCUAAGUGUUUUGCACGUGUAAAUCUGGCUUACACCCGUUGUAUAUGAAUGUUAGGAUCUAUCACACCCGAUCAUCACGUGGUGCUUUGAAACAACGAACUUUUGCAAGGGCGCACAGUUAGGGCGAACACUUUAUUGAAAUUUUUAUGAGGGAUCAUCUUAUUUACUAUCAUCGUUCUAAGCAAAUAAGAUGCAAAAACAUGAUAAACAUCACAUGCAAUCAAAUAGUGACAUGAUAUGGCCAAUAUCAUUUUGCUCCUUUGAUCUCCAUCUUCGGGGCGACAUGAUCGUCACCGGCAUGACACCAUGAUCUCCAUCAUCAUGAUCUCCAUCAUCUUGUCUCCAUGAAGUUGUCUCGCCAACUAUUACUUCUACUACUAUGGCUAAUGGUUUAGCAAAGAAGCAAAGUAAUUACAUGGCAUUAUUCAGUGACACGCAGGUCAUACAAUAAAUAAAGACAACUCCUAUGGCUCCUGCCAGUUGUCAUACUCAUCGACAUGCAAGUCGUGAUUCCUAUUACAAGAACAUGAUCAAUCUCAUACAUCACAUAUAUUUCAUUCAUCACAUCCUUUUUGGCCAUAUCACAUCACAAGGCAUAUGCUGCAAAAACAAGUUAGACGUCCUCUAAUUGUUGUUGCAUGUUUUUACGUGCCUGCUAUAGGGUCCUAGCAAGAACGUUUCUUACCUACGCCAAAACCACAACGUGAUAUGCCAAUUUCUAUUUACCCUUUAUAAGGACCCUUUUCAUCGAAUCAGAUCCAACUAAGGUGGGAGAGACAGACACCCGCUAUCCACCUUAUGCAACUAGUGCAUGUCAGUCGGUGGAACCUGUCUCACGUAAGUGUACGUGUAAGGUCGGUUCGGGCCGCUUCAUCCCACGAUGCCGCCGAAACAAGAUAAUACUAGUAGUGGCAAGUAAAUUGACAAAAUCUAUGCCCACAACAAAAUUGGGUUCUACUCGUGCAUAGAAACAACACAUAGACCUAGCUCUGAUACCACUGUUGGAGAUCGUUGCAGAAAAUAAAAAAAUUCUAUGCAUCACCAAGAUCAAUCUAUGGAGUCAUCUAGCAACGAGAGAGAGGUGCAUCUACAUACCCUUGUAGAUCGCGAGCGGAAGCGUUCAAGAGAACGGGGUUAAUGGAGUUGUACUCGCCAUGAUCCAAAUCAUCGAUGAUCCUAGCGCCGAACGGACGGCACCUCCGCGUUCAACACACAUACGGGGUGGAGACGUCUCCCGCGCCUUGAUCCAGCAAGGAGGAGGGAGAGGUUGAGGAAGAGAGCUCCAACAGCAACACGACAUCGUGGUGGUGAUGGAGAGGCAGUACUCCAGCAGGGCUUCGCCAAGCUUCUGCGGAGGAGCAGAGGUGUUGGGGAGGGGAGGGGCUGCGCCUUGGAGAUGUGUGUGCAGCCCUCCCUUUGCCCCUCUAUUUAUAGGGGGAGAAGGAAGGGGGUCGGCCCCCUCUAGAUGAGAUCUAGAGGGGGGGCAAGGGGGGGACUUGCCCCCCAAGCAAGGGGGGCGCCCCCUUUAGGGUUUCCCCCCAACCCUAGGCGCAUGGGCCCAAGGGGGGAUGCGCCCAACCCUCUAAGGGCUGGUUCCCUUCCCACUACAGCCCAUGAGGCCCUCCGGGAGAGGUGACCCCUCCCGGUGGACCCCCGGAACCCUUCCGGUGGCCCCGGUACAAUACCGGUAUGCCCCCAAACCACUACAAGAAAUAUGUCAACUUGUGACCUUGACUAUUGGUCACUGAAAGGUCAUGGUUUUUCAUUUGUGACCUUUUUUGACCAAAAACAGAAGGUCAAAAGCUGAGGGUCGUUAACUGACUAUAGCGACCUUCUCUGUGAGAAGUUUGUGGACGUUUACGACCAAAAUAUUCCUACUGUGGCGUUUUGGUCACUAGCAACCUCCCCAGGCCACGUAGGCAUCCAGCGUGGCAAGCUGAUGUGGCACAAGAUUCAGCCCGGUCCAAUUCAGUUUUCUACAUGGGCCUAGCCCAACAAUUCGGCCUUUCUAUAUUUUUUUCCUAUGCUUUUAUUAGCUACAUGGGCCUGGCCCAAGAAUUCGGCCUUUUUAUUUUCUAGGCCAUGGCCUUUUUAUUUUAUUUUUUCCAAAAUAUGAGCCCACUAGUGAGAUGGGACCCAGUUGUCAGGUUCUAACAAGUGGGUCCCAAUUGUCAGUGUUAUAUUCUUCAGAUCUCAAUUUUCCAGUAAAUAAAUAACAAUAUUUAAAUCCGAAUAGAGAGAAAACAAAAUGCUUCAAACAGAGCAUGACUAAUCAGGAAAAAUAUGGUACACAUCACGAAUACAAUCAGAAAGAGCCAAACUUGGCACAUUAUUACAAUCAAACUUGUUCACCCUGGUAACACAGCAAGGAUGGUUCAUCCUGGUAACACAUUAUUACAGAAAAAUAUGGUUCACAUCAAGUUUACAAUAAAAAAUGUUCACAUCAGGUAACACAACUAUCACAGCAUAACUAGCUCCAAUGCUUCUCCCAACUUGUUCAUCCUGGACCUCACGACAAAACAUGAAUGAAGGCCAGCAUCUACAAGUUAUCAAGAAAAAUGGUUAGAACAAGCAAAAUGCGACAUUUUUACCAUUUAAGCAUAGAAGAACAGGGUCAACAACAUUUCGAUCUUUGAAAAUGAACCAGGAUUUCAAUCUCUGAACAGCAAAAAAUUGAUACAGUAGAUCAUUUGCGGUUUAAAACAACCCCUAAGGAGAGACAUGUUGACGCAUUCAUUUGGCAACAUCUGUAGAAAUUGAACCUCAUAAACAUGCAAUGUGGAAUUUGUAUCUCAAAGAAGUAUACAUACUUAUCAGGUUUAAUUAGCACAUAAACAUGCAAUGUGGAAUUUGUAUCUCAAAGAAGUAUACAUACUUAUCAGGUUUAAUUAGCACAGAGAAGCCAAAUGCUAGUAACUCAUGAUUAGUACACAAGACAGGAUUCAGCAAAGUAAACAAGAAGUUGGCUACAGUACAAAAGUAAGAUCAUCACACAGAAUAAAUGAGUGGAACUACAGUACAUCCUCUAAAUUAGCAUGUUCACAAGAUUAAAAGUAAGCGCAGCAUAAGCAUAUGAGUUUUGUUUGGCAUAGUUUGUUCGGUAAUAUAGAAAGAGGGGAGAUGGGGCACAGAAAUUUGAGGCACUGUUAUGAGGUAGUGUCUGAUGAAGGUUGCCCUUUGGGGCGACAGCGGUAGCUCCGCCAAAUGUAGCAGCAGCACCUCCGACUAGCACAGCGGCAAAUACCAAGAAGAAUGUCAUGACAAAAGCAACACAGAAGGCUUUUGUGAUGGCGUACCUGAAAAUAGCAGCAGUAGGUUAGUGUGGAUUAUGUAUAUUUGCACAGCACAUAGCAUAACAGAUAAACAAAGGCCAAGAACCCAUAGGCGCCAGAAAACAAAAAUCUUUUUAGCCUAAUUAAUAGUACUUCACAGUAGAUAAACAUUUGUUGAUGCUAAAAAUGACAAAGGCGUGUACCAUGACAUGUCCAGCAAGCCUAACUAAUAGUGUCAAACUAUAGCUAUAAAUAGCACAUCAGCAGCAGCAUAAUACAGUCAAUGGUACACUCUUAUGUAUAGUUGAAACCAAAGGAUAAGACAAACAAAACUUCAAAGAAAUAGAUGAUUUCUCUUCUAUAGUUAAAAGUCACUCAACAGGAAAAUAAUACACUCAAUGAUACAUGUGAAUUAGAAAUGCCAUUAUACACAACCCGAAAUGCCCAUUAUACACAGCCCGGAGUCUAUUCUAUAGAAAAACACUAAUCAACCAACCAAGUAAAACCUUCUGAAAGUAGAUGAUCUCUUAUCCUUCCUUGAUAUAUUAUGACUUCUACUAGAAAUGCAUUUACUAUGAACUGCAACACUAUGGUAACCUGUAAGCAACAAUGAUUACUAUCCCUGGUAGAUAUAUACUACACCUCCUGAUUUUGAUGGACAAACACUCAUACAUUCAUGAAAUUUACUGAACAUAAGCAACUCAUAUAUAUGACAUGUUUGUAAUGGCAGUUUGGUACUAGUGGCUGUAGAAAUAUGGAAAGAACACAUUCAGGGUUGGAGGUCAGACACUUGCACGCCCAUCUCCAAGGUUGGCUGCUAGUGCUCCAUUGAUUAAUAUAUGAAAUUUGAAAGGGGCUAAUCUGACCAUCAACCUAAACAUCCUUAACUACUCUGUAAAUACAGUAGCACGAAAUCUGGACCUGGCCAUGGCUGGAACACACACACACACACCUCUUACCAUGACCUUCCUUCCAUGGCGAUGGCCACCUCCUUGACUUGUUCCAUGGUGAUGGUGAUGGCCUGCACAAACCAACUACGCAAAUUAGAUGGGCAAAUCCAGAAGAAGAAGAAGAAGAAAAGACGAGGGGAAGGAGGGGGCGUACGUACCUUUGGCUUUGCCAGAGUCGAGGGCCACCACAUCAGCAAGCUCGGGUCCCCACCGAGGAACAGAGAAGAGCUCCAUGGGGAUGGGGAUGGGGAUGGGUGGGUGUGGGGCUAGGGUUUCACCCUGGCCAUCCAUCCAUCCGUCCGUCCAUGCGUCGGUUGGGGUCGGUCCUCCACGGUCGGCUGGCCUCCCUCGAGGAACUGGUGGACAACAGCGCGUCGGUCCCGGUUCCCCAUCCAUCCAUCCAAGCGGUAAUGGCGAGGGGGGAGUGUGGGUGGUGGAUACGAGGUCGGCGUUGGGUGGAGGUGGCGGUGUUGGGUGGGGGUGGUGGCGGUGGAGCUUUCCACGGGUGGGAGACAGAGGGAUACGGAGGCGGGGCGGCCGGGUGCCUCGAUCUGGAUCGAGGAGAGGGAGGCCGUGCGCUGGAUCUUGCCGAAAGGGGAGAGAGGGAGGGAGGAGCAGAGCGUGGGGAUCUUGUNNNNNNNNNNNNNNNNNNNNNNNNNNNNNNNNNNNNNNNNNNNNNNNNNNNNNNNNNNNNNNNNNNNNNNNNNNNNNNNNNNNNNNNNNNNNNNNNNNNNNNNNNNNNNNNNNNNNNNNNNNNNNNNNNNNNNNNNNNNNNNNNNNNNNNNNNNNNNNNNNNNNNNNNNNNNNNNNNNNNNNNNNNNNNNNNNNNNNNNNNNNNNNNNNNNNNNNNNNNNNNNNNNNNNNNNNNNNNNNNNNNNNNNNNNNNNNNNNNNNNNNNNNNNNNNNNNNNNNNNNNNNNNNNNNNNNNNNNNNNNNNNNNNNNNNNNNNNNNNNNNNNNNNNNNNNNNAGGGGAUGAGGGGGGAGAAGGGGGCGGCGACGAUGGAUUUGGGGAGGGGAUAGGGUUUGGGUGGUUGGGCUGCCCCGGGGGUGGGGGUUCUUUUUCUUUCUUUCUAUUUUUUUCUUUAGAUAAGUGGGAUGGAUGGAUGGAUGGAUGGAUGGAUGGAUGCCAUGUCAUCGAUCCAUGGCACAAAUAUUUCAACCAAUAAAAACAAAGCUUAUGUAAUUGUGUUUUCCUAUUUGUUUCUCUUGUAUUUUUUGCACGAGGGUGCAUUUUAGAAUGGCAUAAUUUGUUCAAAAUAUAUCAUACUUUGCAUUAGGGUGCAUAUUGGAAUGGCAAACAAGGUUGCCUAAGGAAAUAUUCAUCUUCUUUGGACAAAAAAAUCAUUUUCCAUUUUUUGAGUGCCCCAAAUGAGGUUUUUUUGUGAAGAACCUACCAAAUAAUUGUUGCAAAAUUGGACCAAAUCAUUUUUGUAAAAUACUAGUCCAUAUUUAAUUCACAAUUGACCAAAUGGUUGGGUGUAAAAAGCUUUGAUCCACCUCUCAUGAAAAAGACAAAUUUCCGUCGGUUUAGCUAAAAGCGGGUCAAAUUUGAACUGCAGCUGCCUCAUAGUUAGCUCUUUAUUUUUUCCAAAAAUCAUUUCUAGGUACAUAAGUAUCUAUUUAAUCAGAGAAACAUCAAAAGUUUUCCAAGAUUCAACCACUAGCUAGGAACGGUCAAGCCCGCCGUUUUGACCGCAUAUUGAAACGGGCAUAAAAAAAUUCAAAAAAAUCAAAAAAUUGGAAAACCUUCGCAUUGUGUCAUUAUAUGUGACCAAGUUUCCAGGAAAAAUAAUAAACUUGUAAUACGGUAAUUAUUUUAAAAAAAUGUUCUCAGAAAGGAGCUAUCAAGCGUGAAGAUUCAGGGCUUUCAAGCCAAAUGAUCAAUCUUAUGGCCACAUUCAUGGCAUAGUUUGUUCAAAUGAUCUCAUAUUGUGCAAAAGGGUGCAUCUUGGAAUUCCAAACAAUGUUGCCUCAGGAAGUUUUCAUUUUCUUUGCACGGAAAAUUCAUUUUUCAUUUUCCGAGUGCCCAAAAUGAGGUUUUUUUGUGAAGGAACUACCAAAUAAUUGUUGCAAAAUUGGACCAAACCAUUUUUAUAAAAUACUAGGCCAUAUAUAAUUCACAAUUGACAAAAUGGUUGGGUGAAAAAAGUUCUGAUCGACCUCUGGUGAAAAAGACAAAUUGUCGUCGAUUCAGUUGGAAACGGGUCAAAUUUGAACUGUAGCUGCCUCAUAGUUUGCUCUUCAUUUUUUCCAAAAAUCAUUUCUAGGUAAAUAAGUAUCUAUUUAAUCAGAGAAACACCAAAAAAAUUCCAAGAUUCAACCACUAGCUAGGAACGGUCAAGCCCGCCGUUUUGACCGCAUUUUGAAACGGGCAUAAAAAAUUCAAAAAAAAAUUAAAAAAUUGGAAAACCUUCGCAUUGUGUCAUUAUAUGUGACCAAGUUUCCAGGAAAAAUAAUAAACUUGUAAUACGGUAAUAAUUUAAAAAAAUGUUCUCAGAAAUGAGCUAUCAUGCGUGAAGAUUCAUGGCUUUCAAGCCAAAUGAUCAAUCUUAUGGCCACAUUCAUGGCAUAGUUUGUUCAAAUGAUCUCAUAUUAUGCACAAGGGUGCAUCUUGGAAUUCCAAACAAUGUUGCCUAAGGAAGUUUUCAUUUUCUUUGCACGGAAAAUUCAUUUUUCAUUUUCCGAGUGCCCAAAAGGAGGUUUUUUUGUGAAGGAACUACCAAAUAAUUGUUGCAAAAUUGGACCAAAUCAUUUUUAUAAAAUACUAGGCCAUAUAUAAUGCACAAUUGACAAAAUGGUUGGGUGAAAAAAGUUUUGAUCUACCUCUGGUGAAAAAGACAAAUUAUCGUCGAUUCAGUAGGAAACGGGUCAAAUUUGAACUGUAGCUGCCUCAUAGUUUGCUCUUUAUUUUUUCCAAAAAUCAUUUCUAGGUACAUAAGUAUCUAUUUAAUCAUAUAAACACCAAAAAAACUUCAAGAUUCAACCACUAGCUAGGAACGGUCAUUCCCGCCGUUUUGACCGCAUUUUGAAACGGGCAUAAAAAAUUCAAAAAAAAAUAAAAAAUUGGAAAACCUUCGCAUUGUGUCAUAUAUGUGACCAAGUUUCCAGGAAAAAUAAUAAACUUGUAAUACGGUAAUUAUUUAAAAGAAGUGUUCUCAGGAACGAGCUAUCAUUAUCAUGUGUGGAGAUCAACGUCUUUCAAGCCAAAUGAUCAAUCUUAUGGCCACAUUCGUGGAAUAGUUUGUUCAAAUGACCUCAUAUCGUGCACAAGGGUGCAUCUUGGAAUGACAAACAAUGUUGCCUAAAGAACUUUUCAAUUUCUUUGGACGAAAAAUUCAUUUUCCAUUUUUUUGACUGCCCAAAAUGAGUUUUUUUGUCAAGGACCUACCAUAUAUUUGUUGCAAAAUUGGACCGAAUCAUUUUUGUAAAAUACUAGGCCAUAUAUAAUGCACAAUUGACAAAAUGGUUGGGUGUCAAAAAUUUUGAUCCACCUCUGGUGAAAAAGACAAAUUCCCGCUGAUUCAGUUGGAAGCGGGUCAAAUUUGAACUGUAGCUACCUCGUAGUUUGCUCUUUAUUGUUUACAAAUAUCAUUCCUAGGUAAAUAAGUAUAUAUUUAAUCAGAGAAACACCAAAAAAAUUCCAAGAUUCAACCACUAGCUAGGAACGGUCAUUCCCGCCGUUUUGACCGCAUUUUGAAAUGGGCAUAAAAAAUUCAAAAAAAAUCAAAAAAAUGGAAAACCUUCGCAUUGUGUCAUUAUAUGUGACCAAGUUAUUAGAAAAAAUUAUAAACUUGUAAUAUGGCAAUUCUUUUAAAAAUGUGUUCUCAGAAAAGAGCUAUCAUGUGUGAAGAUUCAUGGCUUUCAAGCCAACUGAUCAAUCUUAUGGCCACAUUCAUGACAUAGUUUGUUCAAAUGAUGUCAUAUUGUGCACAAAGGGGCAUAUUGGAAUGGCAAACAAUGUUUCCUAAGGAAGUUUUCAUUUUGUUUGGAUGAAAAAUUCAUUUUCCAUUUUUUCGAGCCCGAAAUGAGUUUUUUUGUGAAGGACCUACCAUAUAUUUGUUGCAAAUUUGUACCAAAUCAUUUUUAUAAAAUACUAGGCCAUAUUUAAUGCACAAUUGACAAAAUGGUUGGGUGUACAAAGAUUUUAUCCACCUCUGAUGAAAAAGACAAAUUACCGCCGAUUCAGUAGGAAGCGGGUCAAAUUUGACCUGCAGCUGCGUCAUCUGGCCAUAAAAUAGGAGGGUUCUAGAUAACACUUGGUUUGCAAUGUGCCAAUCUGGCCAUAAAAUAGAAAUUGAACCUGGGCUCACGUAGAUGAUUUGGCUGAGUUGCAAUUUGAAGGAGGGUGAUAAUUUGGGCAUAUGAAGGAACUAUAUUAAUUACAUGUCAUUUGGAUAUAUAAAAAUGGUACUUCCUUCACAUUCCAAAUAUUUGUUACAAAACAUUAGACCACAUUUCAUGUACAAAUCACCAAAUGGUUUCAUGUAAAAAGGUUUCCAUACACCUCUAGUGAAAUUGACAAAUUUUUCACUAAUUCCUCAAUUUCAAACAAAGUUUAAUAUUUUUAAAUGAUUUUUUUGAAAAAUCUAGAAAAUAUUUUUUGCAAAGUGGAACAACACCAUUUUCAAUACAUAUUUAACAUUUUGGAGUGCAAGUUUAAGAUUUUUCGAAAACUUGGUCAACAUUUAAUCACAAAAUGUUUGACAUAUUUUUUCCAAUGCUUCGACUAAAUUUUUUAAAAUACAUGAUAAACCAUUUAGUAUAAAUUAUAUAUUUUUGUAUAAAAAAUUUCUUAUACAUGAGAAGUUGAAAAAAUCAUGAAAAUUAAAAAACUUAGCGUUGCGUCACAUAGUUAAUAAAAAAAUUACAAACUUCGAAAUGAUGAUUUUGAAUUGAUGAUUUUUUUUUGAAAUUUACAAUCAUUUUUUGUGAACUUUUUAUGAAAAAAUUAUGAACAUUUUUUAAUUCAAAAAUUUUGGGUCAGAUUCACAAGCAUGAUUUCAAUGCGCGAACAUUUCUUCAAAAUCAUGAACUUCUUUUAGUCCGCGUACAUUUUAUGAUUUCGCUUACAUUUUUCUAACAAAUUCCUUUUUAUGUUUGAAACUUUUUUGAAAUCCCAAAUUAUUUGAAAGAAGAAGAAAUGAAACAUAUGUUUUUAAUAAUAAGCAUACAUUUCAGACGUAAGGCCUGCUAAUAGGCUAUGGGCCGUGAGCCCACUCGGCGGACCGCUGUGUUAACGUAAAAAAGGAGAGAAGGGGAGGCCUAUCACGACUUAGGCCCAAGCCUAGGAAACGAUAUUAUCUAUAAAAGAAUGGAUUGCGGUAGCAUAUCAGUACUAAGGUGGUGGCGUGGUGGUGUGGCUCUGCGGGUUUGUGUGGUGCGGCGCGGGUUCGAAUCCCCCGUUGCCCAUAUUUAUUUUCUAGUUUUCUCCAUUGACAGUGGUGAUGCCUCAUGCUAGUUGGUGGGUCCUGCUUGUCGGGUAAGUGGUGGGACCCGCAUGUCAGUUGGUGGGUGUUGUGUGGUCAGGUCGUCCUACCUGUCAGGUCGGUGGUGGGACCCGCAUGUCGGGUCAGUGGGGCCAACGGGUCAGUUCAAUGGUGGGACACCUGGAGUCAGUUUAUUGGUGGGUCCUCCAUGUUAGUUUGGUGGGGCCCAUUUGUAAGUGGUAGAUUCAAACCAGUGCCAUGUGCAUGACAUAUAGGCAAAAAUGACACAUGGACAUGACACAUAGGACAAACAUGAUGAGGUGGCACUUAGUCAUAGCAAUGCACCACAAUUUACAAGGCUAUGACCAUCUAUAUUGGUCGUGAUUAGCUAGAAAUAAUGCAUCGGACCAGUGUUGUUUGCUUUAUGACCAUUUCGUGUAAGGAAAUUACGACAUUUCUGACCAAAAUGGUCGCAAUGCUUUAGGGUUUGGAGCCCCCCGAACAGCUUUUGACAAAUUGGUCUCAAAUGGUCAUAGAUCUAUGACCAAUUCUUCUAGGGUCACUGACAGAAGGUCACUAGUUGACAUAUUUCUUGUGGUGAACCUUUUCGGUGACCGUAUGUCAACUUCCCAUAUAUAAAUAUUCACAUCAGGACCAUUCCAGAACUCCUCGUGACAUCCGGGAUCUCAUCCGAGACUCCGAACAACAUUCGGUAAUCACAUACAAGUCUUCCUAAUAACCAUAGCGUCAUCGAACCUUAAGUGUGUAGACCCUACGAGUUCGGGAAUCACGCACACAUGACCGAGACAGCUCUCCGGCCAAUAACCAACAACGGGAUCUGGAUACCCAUGUCGGCUCCCAUGUGUUCCACGAUGAUCUCAUCGGAUGAACCACGAUGUCGAGGAUUCAGGUAAUCCCGUAUACAAUUCCCUUUAUCAAUCGGUACGUUAGUUGCCCGAGAUUCGAUCGUCGGUAUCCCAAUACCUCGUUCAAUCUCGUUCACGGCAAGUUACUUUACUCGUUACAUAAUGCAUGAUCCAGUGACUAACCACUUAGUCACAUUGAGCUUAUUAUGAUGAUGCAUUACCGAGUGGGCCCAGAGAUACCUCUCCGUCAUACGGAGUGACAAAUCCUAGUCUCGAUUCGUGCCAACCCAACAGAUACUUUCGGAGAUACCUGUAGUGCACCUUUAUAGUCACCCAGUUACGUUGUGACGUUUGGUACACCCAAAGCACUCCUACGGUAUCCGAGAGUUACACAAUCUCAUGGUCUAAGGAACUGAUACUUGACAUUAAAAAAGCUUUAGCAAACGAACUACACGAUCUUGUGCUAUGCUUAGGAUUGGGUCUUGUCCAUCACAUCAUUCUCCUAAUGAUGUGAUCCCGUUAUCAAUGACAUCCAAUGUCCAUAGUAAGGAAACCAUGACUAUCUGUUGAUCAACGAGCUAGUCAACUAGAUGCUCACAAGGGACAUGUUAUGGUCUAUGAAUUCACACAUGUAUCACUGUUUCCGGUUAAUACAAUUAUAGCAUGAAUAAUAGACAAUUAUCAUGAACAAGGAAUAUAAUAAUAAUCAUUUUAUUAUUGCAUCUAGGGCAUAUUUCCAACACCGCCUUGAUUAACACUAGCUAGUUCAGCAAAGCAUAGUUGUUGGGCUGUAUAAUUAGUAUUAAUUUUAGAUUUCAAUUAGUAUACUUGUAUUUUAAAUUUAAAAACAUGCUUUUGAUUUAUACAGUGAUUCCUUAAUUAUCAUCAUUGAAUAAAAAUAACAAUGUUUCCAUUUGAAUGAGUGAUUUGUUCAUAUCAACAAGGCAAACUUAACAUGUUAUACCAUGAAAAGACUAAAAGAGUGUCUUGUUACAUUUAUGUUAGUUUGCAUCCAAAUUUCGAUUCACUAAGGAACUAUGUUUGUCAAGGUGACUAUGGUGGUAAAAUGAACAUGUGAUGUUAUUAAGAAUCACAUGACCCUUCAAUAGCCUUUUUCUUUUCUUUUUAGAGCAAGAUAUCCGUCAAUAAACCUUGAGCUUGCAGUUAUUUUAAAAUGCUCUAAACACUUAGCCUUAUUGCCUCAUGCACAUAAAAUUAUGGACAACCCACUCCAAACUCACUUCCACAGUUCCAACGUUCUUCAUCGUCAACCUUCUGGAAUGUGUUGAUUAUUUAGUUUCUCUUUUAUGGUAGUGUGCAUUAAUUUAAAAGAUUAGGCUCGCUGAUCUAACAUAGUUCGCAACCUUUUUGAAUGUUUUUGGACAAAAGUCUACAACCUCUACUUGCUAUUAUCGAAUAUCAAUUAUUUCACCAUAAACUAAUUAGUAAAUUGAAUACUUGCUUGUGUUGUAGGACCCCUUCAACGUGCUACAAGUUGCAUGGUACCUCAUGACCUCACUAUUUGUAUGUUAUUUUCCUAUUAAUUUGUUAGAUAUCUUAGCUACCGCUCUACCUUAACAGUGCCUCAUGACCCUCAUUGUUGGUAUAUUUUCUUUGCUAUAUUACUAAUUCGCAAAUUGGAUGAGUGCUUCUGUUAGCACUUGUUUUGUGCAGUACUAGAGGAAUAAAAGGCUUUAGCCUCUCGGGAGCAAUAGCUUCUAUUCUGAUAUUAUUUGUGUUGUCAAAAAGAAAAUGUGACCAAGGUAGAGAUUUCUACCUUAUAUCAACAAGGCCAAUAGGCCCAAGUUACGUACUAUUCUAUUUAUAUUGCAAUAAAUGUGCUUCAUAUUUUUUCCUGUUACAUCAAACCUCUAUCGUUCUUGCUUGAGUGCAUUGUUUUUUUUACUUCUCCUUCAUUUACUUUAUAGAAGAAACUGAAAAGCAGUGAUACUCUGAAUUUUUCUACUAGAAGGAAUACUAGAGAUGCCAGGCCUGAAUGUUGGUAUGGGAUCUGCUCAUGGUGAUCUAUUGGAUGCAGGAUUUGCAAAGCUUCAAGGCAAAGAUUUAAUUAGGUCAUCCAAUCUUAUGCAAUCUCAUCUAUGGCCAACGUGGAUGCUAUGUUCAAAGUGUCCUUCACCGCCUAGGUGAUGGUGUCCCAUUAAAAUGAAGUCCCAGGAUGUCAUUCAGAUUGGGCACACACAAUUACACUUUCUCCUAUGAGCUAGCUCCGUGUUUGCAUACUUAACUGCUUAGGGCACUCCAUAGUAGUUUAAUUUUCGUGGCCAUUCCUAUCAUAUUGGUUCCCUCAUAGCUUCUCCUCCGCACUCAUAUUCCAUUACAACCCAUGACUCCAUCCGGAAAGUGCCUUGCCCACUCUGAUUUUUGCUUCUGGUGACAAUGGUCAUGGCAAUGGAAUUACUGUUGGCACUGGAACAGAAGGAAUGUUUACGGUGCCAAUCAACAUGUCUUCUGCUGAAACGAACACUAGUGAGCCUAUGAAAGUCGAACCAAUUGGAAUACAUGAUGAACAUGGUAGGUUAUCAUUGUCACAUACUUAUGCUUUGUAUACACGAUCCAUUGGAAUACAGCAAGGUGAACCAAUUGGCGGAAUACAGCAAGUUGUUCUUAUUCUUUGUAUGUAUGUGUGCACGCACUGACAGACACACAAAUCUCAAGCCUCUAGGCCAAAUGGGAUAGCAAAUAGCAUGGAUGGAAGAGGUAACUGUAUACAUGAACUACCAACGCAACCUUGCUCCACACUAAUCCUUUUCGGAAACAAAUUAUGGUAGAUUGCAACCUAAUACUUAUCUCAUUAGAGACUUUUACUUCAGCAUACACGGAACUUGAACCGAAACCGUGGAUGUCGUCUCACCUAGUAGUGCCACGAGAGCGCCUCCGCGGUGUGGCCCUCGUCCUGGCCGGCGGUGAAGCGGACGCCUCUGACGAAACCUGUAAGCUUGGCCUUCCUGAGUAUCCAUAUCCAUGUACAGGUCGCCAGCACAGUUGCUGAGGGACACAGACUGGCGGACGGCGCCAUUGCUAGCUGCAUCUGGAUCUCCUCCUCGGCCCGAGUAGAUGUAGAUUUAGUCUGCCUCGUUCCUUUCGUUUCUACCCCGGCCCGACAGAGGCACGGCGGCCGAACGUCGCGGAUGGGGGAAGGGUGGUGGGAGAGGUGUUCGUUGGAUUGAUGGCACGGUCAUCGUCAGUUCGUCACCGACUUCAGAGACACGGCAUCACAGGAGGAUGCAGGAGUGGUGGCAGCCGGCAGCGGGCGUUGGGAUCGGGCAAAUCUCAUCACAUAGCCAAGUGAAUGGAAACCAGCAGCCCAAGAACUGGGACAAGAAUAAGAGCAUCGUUAAUAAUAUAGCCAAGAGCCGGCUAUAUGAAGUUGUCAUGUCACUUAUAGCUAGCGUAAUAGUCCACUCAUACAAUAUACAAUAGUUAUUCAUACUAGUAUGCGAUAUCAUUAAUAUACGCACACAUUUUUCUAUCGUAAAGGUUGUUCGGGCUUGUGCUACGGUCGGUUGUAAGUUUGUAGCCCACUUUUCUUCUCUCUCCUCUCCUCUCCUCUUCAACUAGGCACAAAUCUGAUGUGACAUCUCUAGUAGCUCGCCUACGUCAUUCUAUUAUACUUGCUGAUACAUUAUCAUUUUAUCAUACCAAAGAUGAACCAAUUGGAAUACAUGAACCAUUUCUCUCAUGUAUUUUCUCCUUUGUGAUACUAGUUAGUGUGCACAUGCAACACACGUCUCAAGGAGCAAACUAUUCAUUAUCAUCAAUAAGAAAACAAAGGAAAAAUAUCAUAAGCUAUGUUUAUUCAGAAAAACAAGGAACUACGAGUUGCAAAAAUAUUUGUCCUUAUACUAGCAGAAACAAGCAUACUUGCAGAGUAGCACAAAAGCAAUAAAGCCUACAAACACUCUCCCUUGCAGAGCAAGUCUUAAACUAAGAUUGUCAAAAUUUUCUCAAGCUUAUUAUUCUUCACCUCCCAAGGUACACCAGCUUCGUUUGCACUCCAAAGAAGUAAUCCAUCAUAAGAAUAUUCCCGAUGCAUGCUAAUAAAGCAAGUAUAGCAUUAGUAAGCAUGAAUUGUAAUACUGACAUGAGAAAUCAGAGAUAACAUUAGUUUGACUAUAUAUGGUUGUUAGGACUGGCUCUAUACAUAAAUGAGUAAAUGAUUGAACAGUCAGCAUGAUUAGUAAUAUUGAGAAAAUAAAUCAUAGAUAACAUUAGAUUGGGCUAUAUAUGAUUGUUAGGAAUAGAUGUAUACAUAGAUGACUAAUCAUAAAAGGUGCUAGCCUCUCUCUCUCUCAACCUCAGUGGCAUACUUAAACCCAGACCUCAGAUAAGCGUGAGAUAUUACAGUGAUAUUAAUAUUAAUAAACUAAAUGGUAUUAAACCAUUCCGUGCACACUUAUCAUAACUUAUAAAGACAAAAGUUGUAUUAUUAUGAGCAAAUGCACGAC